Long non-coding RNA from Bos taurus (domestic cattle), 1344 nucleotides. The record is from Ensembl. Lineage: Eukaryota; Metazoa; Chordata; Mammalia; Artiodactyla; Bovidae.
GGCUAGAGGCUCCUCCCACUCUCUCCCCGGGCGGGAGGCUCCGCCUUCCCACCUCCCGCCCUCCCCCUGUUUCGUUCACCUUCGAUUUCAGUCUGGGAAGCCGCGGGGAUCCAGGGGCGACGGCUGGAAAACAGCCCAAAGAGGUAGCUGGAGUGCGCCCUGGGCGCGGGAAAAAUGAGACCGGGAGGACGCGGUCGCUCGCUCCGCUGCUGCCUGGCGGCGCCUGACACCAGCGGGAUCUCAACCCCGGGCGCUGCGUGUGCCAAGCGAUGCCAGGCACCGAAUGGAAGGCAUCCAACAUGAUGAAAUAUUGUGUAGAAGAAUGGUCUGUGUAGAACGAGGUCUGGGUACUAAAGUUGCAAGACCGAAGAGGACCGUGGGCUGCCGGCCACACCUCUUCUCUACUUGGCCUUUCCGGCUGGAUGAGCGGCUCGCUUGGACCACGAAGUACACUGCUGCAGCGCCCCCUGCUGCUUAGCAUCCGCAAAGCAUUAAAAAACUGACCCGGAGAGGCCGACUUCCCCUCUCCCCCGCCUCUCAAACCUAACCAGCACCUACCCAGCAAGUUCUCCAAAACGGCGUGGAGAAAUUGAUCACCGCCCCGCCACCCCCAUCCCCAGGAUGUCUGGCAGUGGCCUGAAAGUCAAGUACCGUGAUUUGAGUGUCUGCAAAACAAAGCCCACUGUCAAAAAGUUUGCCCCAUCAAAGGUCCUCUCUGUCUCUCCAUCGCACUUACCUGUUGACACUGGAUCCUAGGACACUGGAAGAUCAAGCUUCUCUAGAAUCAGAUGCCUGAGUGGUUCCCUGGUGGCUCAGAUGGUAAUAAAUCUGCCUUCAAUGCAGAAGACCUGGGUUCCAUCCCUGGGUCAGGAAGAUUCUCUGGAGAAGGGAAUGGCUACUCACUCCAGUAUUCUUGCCUGGAGAACUCCAUGGGCUAGAGGAGCCUGGCCAGCUACAGCUCAUAGACUUGCAAAGAGUUGGACAUCACUGAGUGACUAACACUUUCACUUUCAUUAUCUCCAACUUCCUCUUAUCCUUUAGGCUGUCAAUUAAUACAUUUACCUCCAAAACACAUCUCAUCACAUCCACACUGCUGCAGUCCUCAUCCAAGCUACCCAUGUUCCCAUCGUGGACUAAUGCAGAAGCUUUCCAAGUGGUCUCCUUGCUUCUACUGUAAUUUCCACCGCUCCUCAGUUAUAACUUCAGGUAUUAAAGGAUUCUUUUGAAACCCUAUGAACUCCCUGCUUAGGGGAGAAAAAAAAAUGUUCAGUGACUUCUUGUUAUACGUAGAAUAAAACCCAAAUCCUUACCACGACCAGCAAGCCUCCAUCUGGUCCCGUGACU